Neofelis nebulosa (Clouded leopard) is the source of this 704-nucleotide long non-coding RNA. RefSeq lists it as uncharacterized. The transcript has 4 exons. NCBI's taxonomy places the organism in Eukaryota, Metazoa, Chordata, Mammalia, Carnivora, Felidae. The record is from RefSeq and is a predicted model, not a curated record.
CAUAACAGCACACACAUCAUGAGCGUCCUAGAGGAGAGGUGAAAGAAAGGGACAGAAAAUAUAUUUGAAGAAAUAAUGGCCAAAAACUUACAUCCAAGAAGCUCAAAAGAUGUAUGUUGGAUAAACUUAAAAAAGAUCACAUCUAGACACAUCAUAAUCAAAUUGUCAAAAGUCAAAGAACUGCUAACAGGACUGGGCAGAGACAGGAGAAAGAAAUGAGUCAAUUGUAAAGAUAUCUGGAUUGAAGAAAAAAGACUCAGGGAAGAAGAAAGAUUCUUCCUGCACAGCAAUGUUAUCCAAACAGCAGCGUUCUCAGAUUGUCUGGUAGUGGAGGACAUCCCAUAAACAGCCUCCGGUAAAGAGAAGGUCGACUAUGGAGGCAGCCGCCGCAGCAGCAAACCGCCAUGCUUCUCUGAGACACCAACAAGAGCCAAGGCACAUGCUAGACGAGAAUCAAAGGAAUUAACAAUCUUCUGAGCCUGAGGGUCUGUUAUCCCAGCUGGAGGAGGAAGUGACACUACUAUGGUAGGCUCUUCUGUCAGCUUUUUCCUUGAUGAAUCGGACUUCAUGUUUACUAAUGACAUUCAGAGAGUGUACUCACUGUUUGUGGAUAGCACCAAGUGGGUGGACUGUCAACCACAUUUGGAGAGUGUCACUGCAAUUCAAAACAAUCCUGACAACUUGAAGAUGUGGGCAGAUAUAAA